Molecule: transfer RNA, 63 nt
Filed under: Rhodnius pictipes
Lineage: Eukaryota; Metazoa; Arthropoda; Insecta; Hemiptera; Reduviidae
Description: tRNA-Gly
Source: RNAcentral
ACCUUUUUAGUAUAAAAAGUAUAAUUAACUUCCAAUUAAAAGGUUUAUGAUUUAAAAAAGGUA